This 74-nucleotide transfer RNA is filed under the name Janira maculosa. RNAcentral's name for it is "tRNA-Gly". Lineage: Eukaryota; Metazoa; Arthropoda; Malacostraca; Isopoda; Janiridae. The record is from RNAcentral.
UCUUAAUUAGUAUAAUAAAGUACAUUUAGCUUCCAACUAAAAAGUAAAUAAAUUAGAUUUUAAAUUAUUGAAUU